Molecule: long non-coding RNA, 689 nt
Organism: Bubalus bubalis (water buffalo)
Lineage: Eukaryota; Metazoa; Chordata; Mammalia; Artiodactyla; Bovidae
Exons: 4
Source: RefSeq, a predicted model, not a curated record
GCGGUCCAGGUACAUGUGGAAGAGGAUGACCAAGUGGGGCGACUGCCAGGUGUGCCAGCACCAGGAACAGUGGAACCUGCGGGGACGAGGAGAGGAGAAGACAGAGUGGAGACGGUGGAAACAGACUGCAGGAAGGAGCCACAGGCCAAGGAGAGAGUGGAAACUGAGGAUAUUUCCAGGAAGUAUAUGAAGCUGAGAGAAGCUUCUGUGAACUCGUUGUGAAACCAAAGUGUAUUACCUGAUAUCAGGAACAAAUUCUCUAGAAGUAUUUUGCAGUUGUUGCUACAAUAAACAUUAUGAUGAAAGACAAGAACACAGAAGAAACUUUGCCAGGGAUUCACACAGUUUCAUUCCAGAAGACCUGGAUUCAAGCACUAGGAUGCCCAAAAGACUCCUUCAUGUAUACCUCUAGUCCUAGUCUCUAUCCAAGACUUAUGUACCACCAAUCUACUGGACAUGUCCCCCUGGAUGUGUAGUUGAAGGAGGAAACAGAACAGGCUCUAUCUUGAAAGCAGGACUCCAUCUUGGGCCGGACUGUGGACUUUGAGCUGUAUGCCCAGUACCUAUGGAAACGACAGACCAACUGGAAAACCAGGCCCCCAAAGGAAGAGCCCCAGGGCUCUCCCUCGCCUAAAAGAAUACCCUAAUUAUCUGUGUAACCGAAUAGAAUCAUACAUUCUAUUAUGCUU